Molecule: microRNA, 20 nt
Filed under: Sus scrofa (pig)
Lineage: Eukaryota; Metazoa; Chordata; Mammalia; Artiodactyla; Suidae
Description: ssc-mir80
Source: RNAcentral
GGGGGCCGGCGGCGGCGGCG